RNAcentral lists this long non-coding RNA (1292 nucleotides) under Vulpes vulpes (red fox). Its description in RNAcentral is "lncRNA (ENSVVUG00000007545.1)". The record is from RNAcentral. Lineage: Eukaryota; Metazoa; Chordata; Mammalia; Carnivora; Canidae.
GGUUCUUCAAGGGACUAGAAGCUAAAGGAGAAUUUAUCCAACAAGUCUGAACAGAGCUUCCUGACUGGACAUCAUUUGAAGGCACCUGGCAGACAUCUCAAGACAAUGGGUUGGGCCGUUCUUGCUCCCUCCCUUGGGCAAUGUCCCUCCAAACCAGCCUCGCUUGGCAUGACCUUUCUUCGGAGCCCAGGGGAGGGCUUUGUCCUCUGGAGGAGACCCCGCUUGUCCCUUCAGGAACCAGACAUCUCUUGCCUCCAGGCUGCAGAGAAGCUUCAGCAGCAAAAUUGCGAUGGUCCCGAGAGCCUUUCCGGAAACCCUGGGGCUCGCGCCCUCCCCUCUCCCACGGGCCUAACCUUGGGCCGAGAGUCCCAGAAUCACUCGCCCAAGUAAGUGAGGUUUUUUUGUUGUUGUUGCUGUUGUUGUUGUGUUUUUUGUUUGUUUGUUUUGUUUUUUGUUUUUUGCCCCCUGUGUGCUUUGCGGAUCUUUCCUCCUGGGGUUGUCAAACGGAGGGCCAAACUUGCUCCUUUCCCCUUUUGUUGGUUCAUACUCAGACCCAGGGCUUGUGCGCAGUGUGGCAUCGAGAGGCUGCUUUUGAAGAGACGUUCGGCGGAUGGAGCGUGGAUGCUGUAUUGCAGGUGCAGACCACCUGGCUCUGGCAGGCCAGCGGGCAAGCCGGCACCGGAGGUUCUCGCAGGCUUCCUUUCCUGGUGUUUCACUCCAAGAAGUCCAGGAAUUUUAAAUCCAUUCCUGUCAUCCUGGGUAACCAUAAUGGUAGACUUUUCAAAGUAAGAGAAUACAAGCUAUUUCAUUUUCGAUUGCAAAGUCUUUUUGGUGUUCGUUUGUAUGUUUUUCCUUAAGCUGGUCGGGAUCUUUGAGAGAGAGAGAGAGAGAGAGAGAGAGAGAGAGCCUAAAGGUAGAUGGCAACCUUGCCACUAACAUUUGCAGGUGCCAGUGCAAAGAGUAAAGAAAAGAGGCAACAAAGCUCCUUAGGCUGCUGGGUGGAUUGCCAGGAUAGCUUAUUUUGUCUUCUAUUCAUGGUCCUCGAGGGCUAGGAACAAGGAAAUCGACAUUUUCAGUCCCAGGCUCGCGCUAGAAGGAUUAUAGCAGGUCCUCACUACAAUAAGGUGGGAUUCCCAAGGUCUAAGCCCUUGGGGGUAGGGGUGAUCUUAUCUAGUCCUGCCCCUUCAGGUCCCAGGGCUCUUUGGACAAGGCGGCCUUGGCACUACAAAUAAUAUAAGGAAAAGGAAUGUUGAAAAAGCCCUUGAGAAUAAAUAAAUAAGGAAGGAAGCUCA